This 253-nucleotide ribosomal RNA is filed under the name uncultured bacterium. Its description in RNAcentral is "partial 16S ribosomal RNA". It matches the Rfam family "Bacterial small subunit ribosomal RNA", at positions 524 to 776 of the family's 1533-position model. The record is from RNAcentral.
UACGGAGGGAGCUAGCGUUGUUCGGAAUUACUGGGCGUAAAGCGCGCGUAGGCGGCUUUGUAAGUUAGAGGUGAAAGCCCGGAGCUCAACUCCGGAACUGCCUUUAAAACUGCAUCGCUUGAAUCCAGGAGAGGUGAGUGGAAUUCCGGGUGUAGCGGUGAAAUGCGUAGAUAUCCGGAGGAACACCGGUGGCGAAGGCGGCUUCCUGGACCGACACUGACGCUGAGGCGCGAAAGCUAGGGGAGCAAACGGG